RNA transcript from Vombatus ursinus (common wombat), 3019 nucleotides. It is a transcript of the gene named chromosome unknown C8orf88 homolog, with no coding region annotated. NCBI's taxonomy places the organism in Eukaryota, Metazoa, Chordata, Mammalia, Diprotodontia, Vombatidae. The transcript has 5 exons. The record is from RefSeq and is a predicted model, not a curated record.
AACAGGAGGACCGACGGGGUGGCUGCGCCGGGGGCCCGUGUCCCAGGGCUGGGAAGCCGCGGUGCCGUACCCGCCCCCCGUCCUGAGCUCUCUCGGAUCCUGAGGCGUAUGGAACCUCAAUGUCUUUGUGAUAAUGGAAACCAAAAAAUUGAUUGGUAAACCACUUCAGCCAGCAAGACCAGUUAGACAUCUGUCUUCUCCCCAUGGUCUCAUUUUGGCAGAUCACUGGCUCCUGCUCAGAUCAAUACCCCAGCACAAAUUGUGCCAAUUGACAAUGAUCACUGCAGAGUCUUACUGAAGAAUGAAAAAAUCCUUGAAAAAAAUUAAGUAUACAAGUGCAGUUUAAAAAUUGUUCUUAUAGAACAGCACUUAGAGAUUCUGUGGUGAUUGUGAUGUCAUAACUUUAUUUUGGUAAAGUUUAGGGCUAUGCUUUGAGCUGGAACAGGUAAUCUGACUUCUGGAAACCUAAACAUAGGAAAAUAGGAGCAGCAUUCCCCUUUAAUUUUCAAAAUGAAAGUCCGUGCAGCACUCAGUGUUUACAAAGUGGAGUUGGCAGGGAAAACAACCAAAGUUUUAAGGAGCAUUCAUAAGAACAGAGGAUUUUGAAGAUAAAGAAUCGUUCAUUUAAUAUUUUGGACACCUAAAAAUGAAGUGGAUCUAGUAACAAUAACUGCGAUGGACCAUGACAAUCCAAUUUAUUUUUCAUUUCAAUAGUUGACUAUUUGGUUUUCCCUAAAAUGAGUAAGAAAUAUUUUAAACUAUAAAGAACUUUCUUUCUAAUCAGCUUCAGCUUUUGCAGGCAAGCAACUGCAUAAUUUGGGAAAGAACACUGGAAAGUAGUAAUUGACUUAGUUUUGUGGGAAGACCUGGUAUUUAUAAUUUGCACGUUACUUGCAAUUUUUUUUGUUUUUCAUCAUUUGUAAUAAUGGAAUGGAAAUGCAAGCUGUAACGAUUCUCAAAUAUAAAAUAUUUGCUACUAUAUUAUGUAUAUAGUACAUAAUCUUUUGUUGCCUUUAAAGUUGCUUUUAUUCUUGUUUCCAGCAAUUUUAUACCAACACUUGAAAGGAUCUUUUGUAAUCUCCUCAAAACCAUAAUUUGAUUGAGUAAAUUUAGUGGUGCAGUUCUCAGAGACAGAGAGGAGAAUUUAUUAUAGCUGUUUCUGACCAAUUGAUCUUUAGGUUAUUGGACCAUAAACAUUGUCUUGGCAGUCCUAAAAUUAUUAGCAGAGGCAGACUAAUAGGAAGCUGUAUUAGUGAUACCAAAUGGAACUAUGGAGCUGAAAAAAAUACUGCUUAUGUUAUAGAUCAAACUAUAUGAAAAGUAGUUCAGAAUUUUUAUAAACAGGACUAUUACUCUCAUAACCAAAAAGGAAAAUGUUAGGGAUUUGUAAGGUUGCACAUGCUUUAAGUUUCAAUGCUCUGUUCAACUCUCUAAUUUCCUUAUAAUGUCAAGAAAGUAUUUGGAUGAAGCAUUUAAUAAGUAAAAUUCCUAAAAUUAAAUUUUUUAUACUGUGAAUUUUCUGUAAAGAAAAAGUCACCCCAAAUAUUACUGGAAAGCAUUUUUCCAGCUCAGUGUCAAAAAGCCACUUAGCAGUUAUGGAACCAUUAUUUUGAGGAGUUUCAUCUGGAUGGGUUUUUUUCUCUCCCUCCCUCCCCAUUUACUCUCCUCCUCCCCACCAAGAGAGAAAAUAGGCAACUAUUUUUGUUCAUUUUUCCUGGGAUGGGCCAAAGGAACAGAAAAGAGAGACUCUCUGCACCAGGAGCAAACUAAUAUUUGGCAAAGGGUAAAAAUGGAGUUGUAAAGGUAAGUGUCAAUCCCUUUUAUCUCCAUUAAAGGGAUCUCGGUAGAAUUUCAUUCUGACAAAAGGUUUUUAAUUUGAUUAAGCAUAUCCCUCUUCUCUUCGAGUCUUAGAGCCAUUUUGCUGAGAUCCUGGUUUUUAGAUGAAAGUAUUCAAACUUCAAUCCCUCACUCAUUUAUUCUCCCUGGAAAAGGUUCCUUCUGAAGUACUGAGAAGGCAUUCAUUUAAAACCUAAAGCCAGAUUUUUAUGAUGAGCUGUUAUAUAUAGCACCCUUUAAAAACAACAGCUUUUUACUUUGCUAAUUCCUUCUACCUAUAUAAUAGUUUCAUUGCAAUCAGAAUUGUCAUAUAUGAUUAAAUUCUCUUACACUUUAAAUUGCCUUUUCUUGUUUGAAUCCCUUUUAUUGCUAAUUAUAAAAAGAAAUAGGAUCUAAUUUUAUGUAUAUUUGGAAUUUGGUAAGCCCUUAUGCUGAAUAUCUGUUGGAUAAGCCAUUGUGAUGGGCAGAACACUUACAUUGUCAUGCUACCAUGGGCCAGACAUUGAAGACUACACCGUAUUAAAAGACUUGAUGUGGUUCCUAAAUAUGACACUGAAAAGGACCAGCUAGUGCAAUGACUGGCCCUUUUUUAUUACUUAGCAGCUGUUUUGGGGCUGCAUUUUAUCCCAGCCAUUCAAUGCCAACUCUUUUCAGAGGAAGAUUAAACAGAAAUUGUGCACUGAGUUUUGUUACAGUGUUAACAUUCUGAUAGGUUUUCAAAGUCAAUUAAUCCUUUGUUACUGCACAUAUUCAGAAUGAGGCUGCAAAGACUUUUUAUAUUCUGUCUCUUUGCCUUUGUACAUAUGUAUAGCAUGUUUAUAUAAUCAUUGUACAUCUCCAGUAAUGUUGCGCUGUGCUCUGUAUAUAAAUUAAAAGAGUUGACAGAGUUAUUUUGUAAUGUUUGUCUUCAAUAGAAUUGGCCAAGACAAGUAUUUGAUAGACCUAAUCCAUCCAACAAUCAAAAUAGACUGCCUUUAUGCCUUGGGGAAAUUCUGAAAUGUUUGAAAAAUGAAUUUAAUUUAGGAUAGAGGAGGUUUGCUGGGGACAUACAAAGCUUUGUGGGUGGUUCAGAGUUGUGAUUAUAUUUGAGAGUGUUUCUGUUAUCUGUAAUUUUAUAGUCUUUAAAAAGUAGCUUUUAAAUUUAGCUAUUUGAAUUAUACAAGGAUGAAAAGAUGAUUGAAAA